Vespa crabro (European hornet) is the source of this 3455-nucleotide RNA transcript. It is a transcript of the gene named leucine-rich PPR motif-containing protein, mitochondrial-like, with no coding region annotated. Lineage: Eukaryota; Metazoa; Arthropoda; Insecta; Hymenoptera; Vespidae. The record is from RefSeq and is a predicted model, not a curated record. The transcript is spliced from 4 exons.
AGUAUAAUUUAGCUAUAUAUCCCCAUCGUAUACGUCGCGUUUUAUCGAACAGUUAACGCAUUAAGUUUCGCUAAAGUUUUUCUCUUAAGUCUUUAAUCUUUUCGUAUUAAUUAGCCGUAUGCAGUCGUGUAGAUAAAAAUGUAUAUUUAAUUCUACGAAAAGAAAAUUUGUCAACAGUGGCGGUAGCGAAGUAAAAGCCCCAGGACCGACUAUGAAACUAUAAUUUUAAGGUUAGAAAGAUUGUGUGGAAUACGGAUAAAUUUCUUUCUCUUUCUCUUUCUCUCGUAAUAUGCGUAUCAAAAGGACCAAAUUCUCAUCGAUAUGGCAUUGUACAAUAGGUGUUCACGACUAUUGAAGUAUUACAAGAAGACGUACGUGAGCAGUUAUCAAAGAUUUUGUAGUUUUGAGAAAUACUUGGUUGAGAAGAACGAUACCAUUGAUUUCGAGAGAUACAAAGAGCAACACGUUGAUUUCCAUAAUUCGGCGAUUUCUAAUUGUCCUCCGUCGUUAACGUUCAACACGUUAGAAAAUAAAGUUUUAAAUUUUUGUAUAAAUCUUCGAAAUGGUAGGGUCUAUCUAAAUGAUUUAGAGGAAAUUAUUCAAAUUUAUGAGAAAACGGAGAAUGUAUUAAUGGACAAUAUUGAUUUGAUAUUGCUCAAGUGUUGCGGCGAAGUGUUAUCCAGUGUCGAUCUCCUAACAAGACGAAAGUUAACUAACAAGGUAUGGAAUUUACUCGAAAAGAAAGGCUGUGAGAUAACGUUGAAACAUUAUAAUGUCCUUCUUGAAGUUUACGCGGAAAAUUUGGAAUUUGUAAAUCCGCGUGAAUUCUUAGAUAAUAUGAGGUUAGAACCCGAUCAGAGGAUAUAUUGCUCUCUAUUGAAUGUAAUAUCAAAAACUGAUGAUUCUGAAUUAACUGUCAAUAUGAUAAAGAAGAUGAAAGAGGGAAUAAAUCGUUGGAGCAAGGAAACGUUCGAUAUGAUCGUCAAAGCAAAUGCCAUGCAGGGCAAUAUCGAGGAGGCCUAUAAAGCAAUCGAAGAAAUGAAAUUCCACGAGAUCGUCCCGUCUAAUGAAACUUACGUUUACUUGGCGUACGGUUAUGCAAGGACCGGCGUUAUUUCCAACAUUAUAGACAUUUUUGAAGAGUACCAUCCUAGCGUUACGAAUAUAAUCGACGUAAUAAAAAUUCUCAACCGUUAUGGAUACGAGGAGCACGUAGAGAGGAUUUUAAAAUUUCUACCUGUAUCGUUGAAAUUAAAUGAUUUAUCUUUAAUUACCAAUGCCAUUGUCGAGCUGAUAUAUGCCGGUCAAAGGAAAAAUGCACUCAGGAUAAUAAUUAAUCUUCCUACGGAAUCAAAGGUUGCGAACAUUUGCGAGGAAUAUGUCAGACACUUUGUAAACGAGGGAAUACAAUUGGAUAAAUCGGACGAGGAUAUUUUAGAAAUGAUACACGAAAUCACAGACCAUAAAUAUUCUCCGUUUGUCAUAAACAAAGCUACCGAAGUUGCCCUGUCCAAAGGCAGGAUAUCUUUGGCUCUUAGUUUAUUCGAGGAAAUGAGAAAGAACGACAUACCGGUACGUUCUCAUUAUUAUUGGCCUUUGUUAAUAGAAGCGCAUAGGCUUGCAGACAGAAAGAAAUUUAACUCUCUCAUAUCGCACAUGAUAUCCUCGAACGUCGAGAUGGAUAAAGAUACGCUCAUUGACUACGUAUUACCUUUCGUGGUUCCUAAUUUCGUUGAUCCUAUUGAGAUGACGAAAACAUUGAUCGAUAAUGGAAUUAAUUAUAUGAACGUGAUAGAAAGCGUCAGUGCGUUUCUCUUGCGUGAAAACAAAUUGAACGAUCUAAUUUUAUUGCAAUCUAAAUUCAAAGCGAAAAUUAAUUUUUGUGAUAGUUACUUAGAAAAGUCUCUCAUCGAGGGAUAUGAAAAAGCAACCGACAAGUUGGCUUUCACGUCGUUUAUCUUAAAAAUUCUUUAUACGAUGAAGCCACCGUAUUUGUACAUUUUGAAUGGAUUACUAAACGACGCAGCCGAGUUUAAAAAGUUGCAGAGGCUUAUAGAAUUUUUACGAAUGUUAAAAAAAUAUAAAGUAACGUUGCCAAGGGCAGAGAUCGAUGUCAUGAAGAGACGCAUUGCUGACAUAAAUUUAUCGGAGGCAGACGAAUGGAAAACUCUCGAGGAUUUAUUGAAAGAGAUGAACGACAAGGAAAUGGACAUGAGUAUGAAAGGUGACUCGUCAGAUUUGAUAUUAUCAUUGAAUCCGCAUCCAAAUAAGAUGGACACCGAGGAACUGCGUAAUCAUAUUAUAGAACUUAAAUCUAAAAAUCUGAAUACUCGUGGGACGAUUAAGAAAUUACUCGAACGAUAUUGUAAAUACAACGAUUUAAAGGGUGCCGAGGGUAUAAAGGAAGAAAUUAUUUCGAAUAAUAUCGAUUGGACACCAGGAAUGAGAGCGAUGUUAUUUGAUUUGUAUGUCAAAAAUAAUCUAUUGGAUAAAGCCGAAGCCGAGUUAAAUGAAAUUCGAAAUAAUUUCAGUCAUUUCAUGUUAGAUAAUAACAAAAUAUUAUCGUAUGCUACUUGUUUGGUGAAAAACAAUAGGUUGGACGAUGCAUUCAAUGCGAUAAACGAUAUUAAAAAUAUUAAUGUUUCUAUGAAUGUUACUGGCAAAUGUUUGCGGUUGUUGUCUGCGAUAACGAAUGGCGAACGUCAUGGCGACGCCGAAAAAAUGUUAAUAACUCUCGUUAAGAAUAAUUAUUGUAAAUUGGACAAUAGUUUACUCAAUCCAUUGGUAAAAAGUCAUAUUAUGAGAAACGACAUAGAAUCUGCCGUGGAUACUUUUCUACGGUGUGCGAAUAAAUACAAGCAAACCCCGGCGAAACAAAUAUUAUUAGGAAUAUUGGUUAGGCAUAUGGGUGAUUCGUCGAUACCGAAUGUUAAGAAUAAGUUGAAGAAGGUUUUAAACAGUAUAAGAGAUAUUCACGGAGAGCCAGUGGCUCUGGUAAAGUUGAUCCUGGCAUUGGCGGAAGUCGGUAAAAUCGAACAAUUACGGGAUAUAUUUCAGAUGCGAAACGUGCAAAUGAAACUAUUGAUUAACGAUAUUCGUAAUUACGAUAACGACAGUAAACUGAAUAUAUCGUUAACUAUAUUCGAAGUCAUCAAGUAUACCAAAAACAUAAAUGUAAAUCUUUUGUGCGAUUACAUACUUUCGAUCUAUGGUAUGAUCAAAUUAAUGACAGCGAGGGAGCUAACCGGUUACUCAGAGAAAUGGAGAGGGCAUCGAUAAGGCCGACUGAAAAGUAUAUAAGUAAGUUCCGCGCGGCCCAAUAAAACGAGGAAAGAACGAUUAUGAAAUGUAAUUAUUUAACGCCAUUGAGCCCUAUUUGGAAAAUGUCAGAUGAAGGCAACUAUUCUUAAGGAACUUCCAAUAGCAAUAAAUAUUGGAGCGAUAUACAACACGCC